This is a long non-coding RNA of Solanum stenotomum, 360 nucleotides long. RefSeq lists it as uncharacterized. The record is from RefSeq and is a predicted model, not a curated record. The transcript is spliced from 2 exons. NCBI's taxonomy places the organism in Eukaryota, Viridiplantae, Streptophyta, Magnoliopsida, Solanales, Solanaceae.
AGAUUGGAAAGGUUCGGAGACAUUGAGGAAAGGAAAGGCAUUGGAGAAGUAGCUUGCCAGACGUCAGUUCUUCGGUGGAGCGAGUGUACCAGCGAAUUUGACUCGACCUCAGCUCUAGCCAGUCACAGCAUAUCAGGUUUAAGGGUGAGCUAUUUAUUCGAGCUUGUGUUGGAUUCUCUCGGUCAUGACUUGAUGUCCAUAGUUUUCGGACACAAAUUACUUUAUUUCAUUUAUUUUGGUGUCUUUAAUACUCUUAGCCUUAGUAUUUAGAGAUUAGAUGUCCUUGAUGUGAUGACUUUCAGAUUUUGGGGAUAAUAUGUAAUAGACUUUAGAAGUUUAUUUGAUUGGUUACUUUAAUAA